CACUCCCCAUCGUACCCGCAAUCCCCACGCACCCACUCACCACCAUUCCAAUCCCGCACCCGCACCCGCUCGCCGAAACCCUAACCGCCGCCCCUCACCUUGGCCGACCCUCAGCCCGUCGACGGCGAGGAGCCCUCAGCCCGUCGCCUGCCUUUACCGACAAAUCACGCGACCGCAUGCCCACCAAAUCCCAAAUCUCACCGUCUCCGCCCUCUCCCCGUCCCCUCCACCAAGAUCGCACCAACCACCUCGAUGGCCGCCACCGCACCGCCGCACGCCGCGGCGCUCCUUGCCGCACUCGCCCUCGCCCUGCUCGCGCUCGCGCCCCCGGCGGUGGCCGAGAUCCGGUCGAUGGCAAUCCGGGCCGACCCGCGCACUAUGAUCCCGUGCGGUGCGGGAGAGCGGCACGGCGGCGGAGAAACCUCGGCGACCAGACGACGGCGCAGGUUGACUCCGGUUCGGCGUGGUGAAUCUGCAGCGGCGGUCAGAUCAAGGCAAGGAUUGGUCGGAAAGCUGGGCUGUACAUAAACUCAAAGAAGUUUGGCGGCGACAUUAAGCCGUGCAUGCUGGAGACGACGGCCUUCCUCAACUGCCCCGCCUUGAACAAGCAGAUCGAUCAAAGUAAUUCCAUAUCUAGCGAUGAUUAUCUCAGCACCAAUUGGCAGUGAGAGGUAGAAGGGGAAUGUUGACACCAUGUUCCAUGCUCCUUCAGACAUGGAGUCCAGGCGCGCACGGCUCCGUCGCCCCGCGCGCUCCAUUGGAGGAGCCCCCGCCCUGCGCGUGGCCGCCUUGGAGUUGGAGCGCUUCCUGCCCCACACCCCUUGUCUGCUCUGGCGGCGGGUUCCUCCUGGCCGCGAUGAUGCCUGAGGCCGGCCGCUACACCCACAAGAAGGAUGACGGCAUCUGCAACAGUGAGUUGCAGGGUUUUGCUUGCUCGCUUGCUUACUUUGCUGCCUGUCAGUAACCUGGACGACGAGCGCGGCGACGAGUCCGACCAGGGCGCGCUGGCAGAGGAGGCCCAGGAGCUCGCCGCCCCUGAUGGCGAGGGCGUGCGCGACUUGGAUGGUGGCCGCCAAGGCCAACGCCAGUGAGGACGUUGUCCUGGAGUUCAUUGGGGGGUUCAUCCCAUUUGAUAAUGCACGUGCCACGACAAGUGCGUCCCCGUGGACGGCAUGAGAAAUAGUGAGGAUGAAGAGGUGAAUGGUGUUGAUUAUUGAACUGAAAACUUGAUUUGGUCAGGUGGAGGGUGGCUUUGUGAAGGAUGUGGAGGUGGGAGAAGAACUCUGAAGGAAAGCGGUGAGUAGAUGUCGAUGAUGUCUACUUGCUUGGCUGCUAUGGUGAUGCAUGCACCGGUGAAGCACGCGCACAUUUAAGGCUGGCCCCAUGUCUUCCUUGGCUGCGAACAUCAUCUACAGGCUAGCAGUAUGACCGGAUGCGAGGACCUGCUCAUUGACCAGGACAAUCUAUGAGCUCCCAGCGCCUCUCAUACAAGGUGCGUUAGGGCCAACCUCUUCCGGAAGAAGGCCACACUCAUGUACCCUCUGGAUCAAAAUUGGAUGGCAAGUUGUCGCAGCUGGAGCAAGUCUCACGAGAGAGAGCAAGUUCUUCCUGUUAUAUAAUUCUUGUUGUAGGAUGGCAAGUUGUAGGAUGUGCCAUAAUUGUCUUAUUGCAUAUUCCCUCUGUUCCUUCUAUAUUCCUGUGUAAGGAAAUGUAUUCCUGAGAUGAUUUGUUAUGUAAACCUGAUGUGAUGCGAUGGAUGAUUUGAAUUUGAUAUGGAAUUUUCUUGAUUUGAAUAUGAAA
Molecule: long non-coding RNA, 1800 nt
Organism: Triticum urartu
Lineage: Eukaryota; Viridiplantae; Streptophyta; Magnoliopsida; Poales; Poaceae
Source: RefSeq, a predicted model, not a curated record